Molecule: ribosomal RNA, 513 nt
Filed under: uncultured bacterium
Lineage: Bacteria
Description: partial 16S ribosomal RNA
Rfam family: Bacterial small subunit ribosomal RNA
Source: RNAcentral
GACGAACGCUGGCGGCAUGCCUAAUACAUGCAAGUCGAGCGAACAGAUGAAGUGCUUGCGCUUCUGACGUUAGCGGCGAACGGGUGAGUAACACGUAAGGAAUCUACCUAUAAGCGGGGGAUAACAUUCGGAAACGGGUGCUAAUACCGCAUAAUAUCUUCUUCCGCAUGGAAGAAGAUUGAAAGACGGCACUGCUGUCAAUUAUAGAUGACCUUGCGGUGCAUUAGUUAGUUGGUGGGGUAAUGGCGUACCAAGACGAUGAUGCAUAGCCGACCUGAGAGGGUGAUCGGCCACAUUGGGACUGAGACACGGCCCAAACUCCUACGGGAGGCGGCAGUAGGGAAUCUUCCGCAAUGGGCGAAAGCCUGACGGAGCAAUGCCGCGUGAGUGAAGAAGGCCUUCGGGUCGUAAAACUCUGUUAUAAGAGAAGAACAAAUUGUAGAGUAACUGCUACAGUCUUGACGGUAUCUUAUCAGAAAGCCACGGCUAACUACGUGCCAGCCGCCGUAGUAA